GUACACGCUGUGACUAGCAUAUCAAUAAGCGGAGGAAAAGAAACUAACAAGGAUUCCCCUAGUAACGGCGAGUGAAGCGGGAAGAGCUCAAAUUUGAAAUCUUAAAGGGUUUCCCUUUACGAAUUGUAGUUUAAAGAAGUGGUUUCUGUUGAGGUUUUGGUAAAAGUUCUUUGGAAUAGGACGUCAUAGAGGGUGAGAAUCCCGUAUUUGACCUUUACUUUCAACUUUGUGAUACACUUUCAAAGAGUCGGAUUGUUUGGGAAUGCAGUCCAAAAUGGGUGGUAAAUUUCAUCUAAAGCUAAAUAUUGGCGAGAGACCGAUAGCGAACAAGUACCGUGAGGGAAAGAUGAAAAGAACUUUGAAAAGAGAGUUAAACAGUACGUGAAAUUGUCAAAAGGGAAGCGUUUGACACCAGUGUUGUUUUUCUGAAAAUCAAUUAAAGAACUGUUUAUGCUAAGCUGUUUAGACUUUAUCAGCUAUCUGUUUAGUUUUGAGCUUUUCUUUAAUGCACUUUUCAGUUAACAAGUCAACAUCAAUUUCUUUUGCUGUAAAAAAGCUUGAGGAAGGUGGCUUGAGAUUCGUCUUAAGUGUUUAUAGCCUCUUGCCUAUGCAGUCGGAGAGAUUGAGGUCUGCAGCGUAGAUCCUUCGGGGCUAAAUGCAUUUGUGCUAAGUUAUAGCAUUUUAUAGACAACUUGUUGACUAUGAUUUGUCUUGUAGCUUACUCGCUUAUGUUAUUUUACCUACGCUUAGGAUGUUGAGUCGUAGAGCACGCAG
This 774-nucleotide ribosomal RNA is filed under the name uncultured Neocallimastigales. RNAcentral describes it as "partial large subunit ribosomal RNA". It matches the Rfam family "Eukaryotic large subunit ribosomal RNA", at positions 22 to 628 of the family's 3401-position model. Lineage: Eukaryota; Fungi; Neocallimastigomycota; Neocallimastigomycetes; Neocallimastigales. The record is from RNAcentral.